AUUCGUUCGAAAUUGUGACCA
RNAcentral lists this microRNA (21 nucleotides) under Daphnia pulex (common water flea). Its description in RNAcentral is "Dpu-Novel-9_3p* (star (passenger))". The record is from RNAcentral. Lineage: Eukaryota; Metazoa; Arthropoda; Branchiopoda; Diplostraca; Daphniidae.